RNAcentral lists this small RNA (74 nucleotides) under Xanthomonas campestris pv. incanae. RNAcentral's name for it is "sX9 sRNA". It matches the Rfam family "Xanthomonas sRNA sX9". Lineage: Bacteria; Pseudomonadati; Pseudomonadota; Gammaproteobacteria; Lysobacterales; Lysobacteraceae. The record is from RNAcentral.
AUGUGCCAACGUACAUUCCGUUCCUCCGCGCCGUCCACACCCACCUGACGACUGCUCGCUACGUUUUGUCAGCC